Xyrauchen texanus (razorback sucker) is the source of this 70-nucleotide small nucleolar RNA. RefSeq annotates it as small nucleolar RNA SNORD30. Lineage: Eukaryota; Metazoa; Chordata; Actinopteri; Cypriniformes; Catostomidae. The record is from RefSeq and is a predicted model, not a curated record. The transcript has a single exon.
ACUUAUGAUGAUUAACUUUGGAAUCUCGUUCGUCUGAACUCCCUGUUGAUAAAUCUUAUUACUGAUGUUG